UCCUACGGGAGGCAGCAGUGGGGAAUAUUGGACAAUGGGCGCAAGCCUGAUCCAGCAAUGCCGCGUGGGUGAAGAAGGUCUUCGGAUCGUAAAGCCCUUUCGGCGGGGACGAUGAUGACGGUACCCGCAGAAGAAGCCCCGGCUAACUUCGUGCCAGCAGCCGCGGUAAUACGAAGGGGGCUAGCGUUACUCGGAAUUACUGGGCGUAAAGGGCGCGUAGGCGGCGCACCAAGCUAGGCGUGAAAGUCCUGGGCUCAACCUGGGAACUGCGCUUGAUACUGGUGUGCUUGAGGAUGGAAGAGGGUUGUGGAAUUCCCAGUGUAGAGGUGAAAUUCGUAGAUAUUGGGAAGAACACCGGUGGCGAAGGCGGCAACCUGGUCCAUUACUGACGCUGAGGCGCGACAGCGUGGGGAGCAAACAGGAUUAGAUACCCUGGUAGUCC
This 442-nucleotide ribosomal RNA is filed under the name uncultured bacterium. Its description in RNAcentral is "bacterial SSU rRNA". It matches the Rfam family "Bacterial small subunit ribosomal RNA", at positions 337 to 796 of the family's 1533-position model. The record is from RNAcentral.